UGGAGCUCAGUGGUAGUGUGCCUGUCUAACAUGCAGGAGGCUCUGGGUUCAACCCCAGCA
This 60-nucleotide transfer RNA is filed under the name Neotoma lepida (desert woodrat). It matches the Rfam family "tRNA", at positions 6 to 65 of the family's 71-position model. Rfam says of the family: Transfer RNA (tRNA) molecules are approximately 80 nucleotides in length. Their secondary structure includes four short double-helical elements and three loops (D, anti-codon, and T loops). Lineage: Eukaryota; Metazoa; Chordata; Mammalia; Rodentia; Cricetidae. The record is from Rfam by way of RNAcentral.